GCCCGCUUAGCUCAGCGGUAGAGCGCGUCACUCGUACUCGCGUGGCCAUGAUGAGGUCGGUUGUUCGAAUCAGCCAGUGGGCA
RNAcentral lists this transfer RNA (83 nucleotides) under Auriscalpium vulgare. Its description in RNAcentral is "tRNA-Thr". It matches the Rfam family "tRNA". Rfam says of the family: Transfer RNA (tRNA) molecules are approximately 80 nucleotides in length. The record is from RNAcentral. Lineage: Eukaryota; Fungi; Basidiomycota; Agaricomycetes; Russulales; Auriscalpiaceae.